UACGAAGGGUGCAAGCGUUACUCGGAAUUACUGGGCGUAAAGCGUGCGUAGGUGGUUUGUUAAGUCUGAUGUGAAAGCCCUGGGCUCAACCUGGGAAUUGCAUUGGAUACUGGCAGGCUAGAGUGCGGUAGAGGAUGGCGGAAUUCCCGGUGUAGAGGUGAAAUUCGUAGAUAUUGGGAAGAACACCGAUGGCGAAGGCAGCCAUCUGGACCGACACUGACGCUGAGGCGCGAAAGCGUGGGGAGCAAACAGG
Molecule: ribosomal RNA, 253 nt
Filed under: uncultured bacterium
Lineage: Bacteria
Description: partial 16S ribosomal RNA
Rfam family: Bacterial small subunit ribosomal RNA
Source: RNAcentral